UACGUAGGGUGCGAGCGUUAAUCGGAAUUACUGGGCGUAAAGCGUGCGCAGGCGGUUCGUUGUGUCGGCGGUGAAAGCCCCGGGCUUAACCUGGGAAUGGCCGUCGAAACUGGCGAACUGGAGUGUGGCAGAGGGGGGUGGAAUUCCACGUGUAGCAGUGAAAUGCGUAGAGAUGCGGAGGAACACCGAUGGCGAAGGCAGCCCCCUGGGCUGACACUGACGCUCAGGCACGAAAGCGUGGGGAGCAAACAGG
This 253-nucleotide ribosomal RNA is filed under the name uncultured bacterium. Its description in RNAcentral is "partial 16S ribosomal RNA". It matches the Rfam family "Bacterial small subunit ribosomal RNA", at positions 524 to 776 of the family's 1533-position model. The record is from RNAcentral.